This 434-nucleotide ribosomal RNA is filed under the name uncultured Lachnospiraceae bacterium. RNAcentral describes it as "partial 16S ribosomal RNA". It matches the Rfam family "Bacterial small subunit ribosomal RNA", at positions 341 to 792 of the family's 1533-position model. The record is from RNAcentral. Lineage: Bacteria; Bacillati; Bacillota; Clostridia; Lachnospirales; Lachnospiraceae.
ACGGGAGGCAGCAGUGGGGAAUAUUGGACAAUGGGGGAAACCCUGAUCCAGCGACGCCGCGUGAGUGAAGAAGUAUUUCGGUAUGUAAAGCUCUAUCAGCAGGAAAGAAAAUGACGGUACCUGACUAAGAAGCCCCGGCUAACUACGUGCCAGCAGCCGCGGUAAUACGUAGGGGGCAAGCGUUAUCCGGAUUUACUGGGUGUAAAGGGAGCGCAGACGACUUUGCAAGUCUGAUGUGAAAGGCAGGGGCUCAACUCCUGGACUGCAUUGGAAACUGUAGGGCUAGAGUGUCGGAGAGGUAAGCGGAAUUCCUAGUGUAGCGGUGAAAUGCGUAGAUAUUAGGAGGAACACCAGUGGCGAAGGCGGCUUACUGGACUGUAACUGACGUUGAGGCUCGAAGGCGUGGGGAGCAAACAGGAUUAGAUACCCUGGUA